CUUAAAUUUAGCGCCAUCUUCAACAUCAGGAUUUGUUUGGUAUUUGAUAUAAUUUUUUUUUUUUUUUGAUAAUUGUUUUUUUAAGAACGACAAUUGAAUGCUUGGUACUUAUAAUAAAUUACAAAUAGUUAUUUCCGAUAGGGAAAAAAUUACGGGCUACUCCAUAAAAAUACACAGACAGUGUCAUCUUCAUAUGGGUCUGAACUUGAAAAAUAAAAAAUUUUUCUCAGGACUUUUGGGGUUUCUCCUACCAGAGAACAUUAUAAUGAACAAAAAAACAUUCAUACUGAGCAAUUAUAGAAUUCAAAUCGUCCGAAAUCUACAGCCGGUAUUAGACAACGAAAUGAAAGCAAACUUUUGCUAAGCAUUCUAUCUGGGAGACUUUGAAGAGUGUACAUUGAUCUAGAAAAAAAUAUUUUUGGUUUCAUCCUAGAAAAAAUAUCAAAGAUGGGCAUAAAAUUUUGAAAAGUCUUUGAUAUGCAUUUUUAGUAUUAUGAUAUAUAAAUUAUCAAUAAUUUCCAAGCAUUCUUGUUUUAUAUUUGAAUAAAAUACUGUACCUCACACAAUUUCAAAUAAAAUUU
Molecule: long non-coding RNA, 581 nt
Organism: Microplitis mediator
Lineage: Eukaryota; Metazoa; Arthropoda; Insecta; Hymenoptera; Braconidae
Exons: 3
Source: RefSeq, a predicted model, not a curated record